RNAcentral lists this ribosomal RNA (185 nucleotides) under uncultured Ochromonas. RNAcentral describes it as "partial Eukaryotic large subunit ribosomal RNA". It matches the Rfam family "Eukaryotic large subunit ribosomal RNA", at positions 2976 to 3159 of the family's 3401-position model. The record is from RNAcentral. Lineage: Eukaryota; Chrysophyceae; Chromulinales; Chromulinaceae.
AGACAGGUUAGUUUUAUCCUACUGAUGAGUUGUUCAUCGCUACAGUAAUUGAGGUUAGUACGAGAGGAACCCCUGAUUCACGCAAUUGGUAAUGGGGUUGCUUGAACAGGCAAUGCCCCGACGCUAUCACGUGUUGGUUUAGGGCUGAACGCCUCUAAGUCCGAAACCAUGCUGGAUGCGCGAUG